UGGAGAGCCCUGGGGCCGCGCCCGCGCUCUCCCCGGACCACUGCCCCGCAGCUCCGCGGCCUCCUUAGAAUCCGUUUACCGAGCGGCUUCCCGCGGCCCGGAAAGGGCGAGAAUGGCGCAGCGGAGGGAGCGGCGCGGGCGGCGCUGGGGCGACAGCGGCGGGGCUGGAACAGCGCGGGAGUGGACCUACGACUGCUACGAAACGCCUGCUUUCCUAAGACGGUGGCUCCGAGUUCUCCCGAGGGCGACAGGGGACGUCCGCUGGCCUGUGACCUUGGCUUUGGGAGCCUGGGGAGGUCCUGUGCAGCUUCCCAAGAAGAAGCCUUCAGCCCUUCCCUAGGGGUCUGCACUGUUCUGAGGGUGACAUCCCCUGCAAGCCGACUUCUCAUGUCCAGUUUGGCAACGUAUAACACCCAGUGCUCAUCCCAAGCAGAAUGUUUCUCUGGGUUCAGAAGAGACACUGAAAAUCAAGGCCAUCCAGGUGAUGGCCUCCACAAAAGUGGAAGACUACCUUAAAUAAAUAUCGCCUUAUUUCCCUUUGGAUCUUUCUACUUCAAGAAUAAUUAUUGCCCCACACUGGGAUCAAAGAGGGAAAAAAUGAGGAUAGGAAUUUAUUAGCAAUCAAACAAAUUGCAAGUACUGAUAAAAGA
This is a long non-coding RNA of Canis lupus familiaris (dog), 650 nucleotides long. RefSeq lists it as uncharacterized. The transcript has 3 exons. Lineage: Eukaryota; Metazoa; Chordata; Mammalia; Carnivora; Canidae. The record is from RefSeq and is a predicted model, not a curated record.